RNAcentral lists this transfer RNA (88 nucleotides) under Escovopsis weberi. It matches the Rfam family "tRNA". Rfam says of the family: Transfer RNA (tRNA) molecules are approximately 80 nucleotides in length. Their secondary structure includes four short double-helical elements and three loops (D, anti-codon, and T loops). Lineage: Eukaryota; Fungi; Ascomycota; Sordariomycetes; Hypocreales; Hypocreaceae. The record is from Rfam by way of RNAcentral.
GCCCGUAUAGCUCAGUGGUAGAGCGCAUCACUCGUACUCCUUAUUACUCGACAUGAUGAGGUCCGCUGUUCGAUCCAGCGUGCGGGCA